GGUUGUAAACGGCUUUUGACAGGGAAGAAGAGUGAGGNUGCGUCCUCANGUGACGGUACCUGUUGAAUAAGCACCGGCUAACUCCGUGCCAGCAGCCGCGGUAAUACGGAGGGUGCGAGCGUUGUCCGGAUUUAUUGGGUUUAAAGGGUGCGUAGGCGGGCUUAUAAGUCAGUGGUGAAAUCCAGCUGCUCAACAGUUGAUGUGCCAUUGAUACUGUAAGUCUUGAAGUAAUUGGAGGCUGCCGGAACGGAUGGUGUAGCGGUGAAAUGCAUAGAUAUCAUCCAGAACACCUAUUGCGAANGCAGGUGGCUACGAUUAACUUGACGCUGAGGCACGAAAGCAUGGGGGAGCAAACAGGAUUAGAUACCCUGGUAGUCCAAGG
RNAcentral lists this ribosomal RNA (382 nucleotides) under uncultured bacterium. RNAcentral's name for it is "bacterial SSU rRNA". It matches the Rfam family "Bacterial small subunit ribosomal RNA", at positions 421 to 799 of the family's 1533-position model. The record is from RNAcentral.